CAGUCGCCACGGGAAUACAGAGGGUGCAAGCGUUAAUCGGAAUUACUGGGCGUAAAGCGCGCGUAGGUGGUUUGUUAAGUUGGAUGUGAAAUCCCCGGGCUCAACCUGGGAACUGCAUCCAAAACUGGCAAGCUAGAGUAUGGUAGAGGGUGGUGGAAUUUCCUGUGUAGCGGUGAAAUGCGUAGAUAUAGGAAGGAACACCAGUGGCGAAGGCGACCACCUGGACUGAUACUGACACUGAGGUGCGAAAGCGUGGGGAGCAAACAGGAUUAGAUACCCGAGUAGUCCCUGUCUCUUAUAC
This 301-nucleotide ribosomal RNA is filed under the name uncultured bacterium. RNAcentral describes it as "partial 16S ribosomal RNA". It matches the Rfam family "Bacterial small subunit ribosomal RNA", at positions 509 to 807 of the family's 1533-position model. The record is from RNAcentral.